This is an RNA transcript of Homo sapiens (human), 1502 nucleotides long. It is a transcript of the gene named olfactory receptor family 6 subfamily W member 1 pseudogene, with no coding region annotated. The transcript has a single exon. The record is from RefSeq and is marked provisional. NCBI's taxonomy places the organism in Eukaryota, Metazoa, Chordata, Mammalia, Primates, Hominidae.
CCAGUAAUCCAUUCCUCGCCCCAGGGAAACUCCUGCCUUUUGGGAAUGUGUCUCCUGGGGUCAACUGUGCACACAGGCUAGUGUGCAUGGGGAGCCAGGCCAGCACUAUGGGGACCUGAUUGAGAGAGAGGUUGAUGGCAAUCUCCUGCUAACAGUUCUCAACCUCUCACAGGUGUCACAUAGAAUGGGCAUCAAGUGCAAUGGGUAACUACAGCAUUGUCAGGGAGUUUGUGCUCCUGGGAUUUUCUUUUUUUUUUUUUUUUUUAAUUGAUCAUUCUUGGGUGUUUCUCGUGGAGGGGGAUUUGGCAGGGUCAUAGGACAAUAGUGGAGGGAAGGUCAGCAGAUAAACAAGUGAACAAAGGUCUCUGGUUUUCCUAGGCAGAGGAGCUCCUUGGAUUUUCUUAUCUCCAUGAGUUCCAGGUUCUGCUGUUUGCUCUGAUCCUGUUGAUAUAUGUGCUGAUGCUGCUGGGCAACCUGGCCAUCAUCAGCUUCAUUUGCCUUGAUUCCCGCCUUCACUCACCCAUGUACUUCUUCCUCUGCAACUUCUCCCUCAUGGAGAUGGUGGUCACCUCCACUGUGGUACAUAGGAUGCUGGCAGACCUGCUAUCCACUCACAAGACCAUGUCCCUGGCCAAAUGCCUAACCCAGUCUUUCUUUUACUUCUCCCUGGGCUCUGCCAACUUCCUGAUACUCAUGGUCAUGGCCUUUGAUCGCUACGUGGCCAUCUGCCACCCCCUGCGCUACCCAACCAUCACGAAUGGUCCAGUGUGUGUGAAGCUGGUGGUGGCCUGUUGGGUGGUUGGUUUCCUCUCCAUUGUCUCUCCCACACUGCAGAAAACACGACUCUGGUUCUGUGGCCCUAACAUCAUCGGCCACUACUUCUGUGACUCUGCCCCGCUGCUCAAGCUUGCCUGCUCUGACACCCGCCACAUUGAGCGCAUGGACCUCUUCCUGUCCCUGCUCUUUGUGCUGACCACCAUGCUGCUUAUCAUCCUCUCCUACAUCCUCAUUGUGGCUGCAGUGCUGCACAUCCCUUCCUCCUCUGGAUGCCAGAAGGCCUUCUCCACCUGUGCCUCUCACCUCACAGUGGUGGUUCUGGGCUAUGGCAGUGCCAUCUUCAUCUACGUGAGGCCAGGCAAGGGCCACUCCACAUACCUCAACAAGGCGGUGGCCAUGGUGACUGCAAUGGUAACCCCUUUCCUCAACCCCUUCAUCUUCACCUUCCGGAAUGAGAAGGUCAAGGAGGUCAUUGAGGAUGUGACUAAAAGGAUCUUCCUUGGAGACCCAGCAGCCUGUAGGUGAGAGGGUGAGCCCUUGACAGGGCUAGAGAGCACCUGACAAGUCACGAGGAGUAGACUUGCUGCAGGUGGGCACCCACAUGCCUAAGCUGGAGCUCCUCACUCUCUUUUUUCUCAUUUUCUCCUGGUCCCUCAUCUUCAUGCAAGUUUCUUCUCCUGCACUGCAGAGAACUAAUGGACACACAUUGGUAGAAUGUCUCAAAG